Non-coding RNA from Pelobates cultripes (western spadefoot toad), 340 nucleotides. Lineage: Eukaryota; Metazoa; Chordata; Amphibia; Anura; Pelobatidae. The record is from the annotation of a GenBank genome assembly.
UGUGGAAGGGGGUGACUAGGGACAGAGGGGGUGAUUAGUGACAGAGUGAGGGAGGGGGUGACUAGUGACAGAGUGAGGGAGCGGGUGACACAGUGACAGAGUUAGGGAGGGAGUGACUAGUGACAGAGAGAGGGAUGGGGUGACUGUCACUAGACAGUCAUCCCCUCCCUCCCUCCCUCUGUCACUAGUCACUCCCUCCCUCUGUUACUAGUCACUCCCUCACUCUGUCACCAGUCAUCCCCUCACUCUGUCACCAGUCACCCCUUCCCUCCCUCACUCUGCCACUAGUCAUCUUUUCCCUCCCUCACUCUGCCACUAGUCAUCUUUUCCCUCCCUCACU